AUGUGUAAGAAGGCGUUUUCUGCUGUACUGAUGCAGUUUCAUGAUUGCUGCUGCAUGGAAUCCUUCCCUCACAAACCUAAAGACAUCACUACAGACAAACAAGAAUUCUCUGGAUCCUGCAUGAGAAGUUGUCCUGCAUACAAGGAGCAGCUUGGGUGCUUGUGCCUAGCACAUAUUAAUAGCAAAAAUAAAAUAGAAGUCUACUGUGCAUUCCCAAAUUCACUUCAAAAUCCUCAUCUCCUGAAGGCAGACACCACCAUUUGUUCUCAGGAAGACACUGUGUUAGCUGGAUGAAUACAUGCCAUUAAACCUGGCAUGCAAUGUUUAACAUCACUACAAACUCAGAAUAAAUUUGGCUACAGUACUUUUCCUCCUCCUUUU
RNAcentral lists this long non-coding RNA (381 nucleotides) under Zonotrichia albicollis (white-throated sparrow). RNAcentral describes it as "lncRNA (ENSZALG00000007896.1)". Lineage: Eukaryota; Metazoa; Chordata; Aves; Passeriformes; Passerellidae. The record is from RNAcentral.